Molecule: ribosomal RNA, 253 nt
Filed under: uncultured bacterium
Lineage: Bacteria
Description: partial 16S ribosomal RNA
Rfam family: Bacterial small subunit ribosomal RNA
Source: RNAcentral
UACGGGGGGGGCAAGCGUUGUUCGGAAUUACUGGGCGUAAAGGGCUUGUAGGUGGCCAACUAAGUCAGACGUGAAAUCCCCCGGCUUAACCGGGGAACUGCGUCUGAUACUGGAUGGCUAGAGAUUGGGAGAGGGACGCGGAAUUCCUGGUGUAGCGGUGAAAUGCGUAGAUAUCUGGAGGAACACCGGUGGCGAAGGCGGCAUCCUGGACCAACACUGACACUGAUGAGCGAAAGCCAGGGGAGCAAACGGG